CGAACCGUGCAAACGUUGUUCGGAAUCACUGGGCUUAAAGGGCGCGUAGGCGGAUGAGCAAGUCUGUGGUGAAAUCCCCCGGCUUAACCGGGGAACUGCCGUGGAUACUGCCCAUCUCGAGGAAGAGUAGGGGCGUCUGGAACUAGCGGUGGAGCGGUGAAAUGCGUUGAUAUCGCUAGGAACUCCGGUGGCGAAGGCGAGACGCUGGAUCUUUUCUGACGCUGAGGCGCGAAAGCCAGGGGAGCGAACGGGAUUAGAUACCCCGGUAGUCCUGGCCCUAAACGAUGAGAACUGGAUAGCGGGCUUGACAUAGGCACGCUGUCGGAGCAAAGUGUUAAGUUCUCCGCCUGGGGAGUAUGGUCGCAAGGCUG
This 371-nucleotide ribosomal RNA is filed under the name uncultured organism. RNAcentral describes it as "bacterial SSU rRNA". It matches the Rfam family "Bacterial small subunit ribosomal RNA", at positions 526 to 896 of the family's 1533-position model. The record is from RNAcentral.